RNAcentral lists this ribosomal RNA (300 nucleotides) under uncultured bacterium. Its description in RNAcentral is "bacterial SSU rRNA". It matches the Rfam family "Bacterial small subunit ribosomal RNA", at positions 29 to 334 of the family's 1533-position model. The record is from RNAcentral.
AAUGAACGCUGGCGGUGCGCCUAACACAUGCAAGUCGAGCGAGAACGCUUCUUCGGAAGCUAGUAAAGCGGCGGACGGGUGAGUAACGCGUAAGAAUCUGCCCUUCAGUGAAGAAUACCCUUGAGAAAUUAAGGUUAAUGCUGCAUAUCUCCCUUCGGGGAAAAAGGUGGCCUCUUGCUGCCGCUGAGGGAUGAGCUUGCGUACUAUUAGUUUGUUGGUGGGGUAAUGGCCUACCAAGACGAUGAUGGUUAGCCGGCCUGAGAGGGUGAUCGGCCACACUGGAACUUAGACACGGUCCAG